ACAGGGAUUGCCCUAGUAACGGCGAGUGAAGCGGCAACAGCUCAAAUUUGAAAUCUGGCUUCGGCCCGAGUUGUAAUUUGCAGAGGAUGUUUCUGGCGCGGUGCCUUCCGAGUUCCCUGGAACGGGACGCCACAGAGGGUGAGAGCCCCGUAUGGUUGGACACCAAGCCUGUGUGAAACUCCUUCGACGAGUCGAGUAGUUUGGGAAUGCUGCUCAAAAUGGGAGGUAAAUCUCUUCUAAAGCUAAAUACCGGCCAGAGACCGAUAGCGCACAAGUAGAGUGAUCGAAAGAUGAAAAGCACCUUGAAAAGGGGGUUAAACAGUACGUGAAAUUGUUGAAAGGGAAGCGCUUGUGACCAGACUUGCGCCGGGCGGUUCAUCCGGGGUUCUCCCCGGUGCACUCCGCCCGGUUCAGGCCAGCAUCGGUUCUCGUUGGGGGAUAAGAACGGCAGGAACGUGGCCCUCCUCCGGGAGGGUGUUAUAGCCUGCCGUACGAUACCCUGACGGGGACCGAGGUUCGCGCUCCGCAAGGAUGCUGGCGUAAUGGUCAUCAGCGACCCGUCUUGAAACACGGACCAAGGAGUCGUCCAUUAGAGCGAGCGUUUGGGUGUCAAACCCGCACGCGUAAUGAAAGUGAAAUUAGGUGAGAGCUUCGGCGCAUCAUCGACCGAUCCUGAUGUUCUCGGAUGGAUUUGAGUAAGAGUUUUAACGGACGGACCCGAAAGACAGUGAACUAUGCUUGUAUAGGGUGAAGCCAGAGGAAACUCUGGUGGAGGCUCGCAGCGGUUCUGACGUGCAAAUCGAUCGUCAAAUAUGAGCA
RNAcentral lists this ribosomal RNA (819 nucleotides) under Microthia havanensis. Its description in RNAcentral is "partial large subunit ribosomal RNA". It matches the Rfam family "Eukaryotic large subunit ribosomal RNA", at positions 68 to 917 of the family's 3401-position model. The record is from RNAcentral. Lineage: Eukaryota; Fungi; Ascomycota; Sordariomycetes; Diaporthales; Cryphonectriaceae.